GAAGGGCCCCGCAGCCCAGGGACGCGGACAAGGGCCGGCACACGGACGCCGGGACCACGACCGCCUCAGGGCAGCGGGACGCGGACUCCACGGAGAAGCGACAGCUCGGGCGAAGGGGAGCGGCGGCAGGAGGAGGUGGAACUCUGCCGAGUCAGCACCGCGCCCACUCGGUGGCACUUGUGGGAACCCUGCGGCUGCCCGGCCGGGCCGCGGCUCAGGUCGGGCCCAGCGCCGGGAGCGGCGUCUGUGACGGGCUGGCGCCGGCCGCUCACCCGCCUCUCAGGUAAACACUGGGCGCCGCUUACCUCUGUUAACAUCAUUACACCCCGGGGGAGUGACGUCCUCCCUAGCCUCGCCGCAUGGCAACAGCCGUAGCAGCAGCGGAAACUGCCCGGGCCGCCGCCAACGGCGGCAACUGCUGCUUCAGUCCUGUCCCGGGCGGCGGCUUUACUCGGCUUCGCUGGCUUCCCCCCGGCCCGGCUGCUCGCGACGGACGCGCCGCCAUCUUGGAAGAGCGACGUCCGCGUCUCCCCGCGACGUGCGCUCCCAUUGGCUGGCGGGCCGGGCGCGAGCGUCUUGUGACUGUCUCCAUGGCGCCGGCGCGCGCAGGGACGGAGGCGGGGGUUGGGCCGCGCGCGAUCCGGGACCUCGGCUGCUGGCUGGAUCCUGGACCACGGAGGUGGCCGGUAAACGGGCUGGUGGCGCAGUGCAGACUGCGUGCUGGCGGAGAAACUUCCAUCGC
Molecule: long non-coding RNA, 742 nt
Filed under: Rattus norvegicus (Norway rat)
Lineage: Eukaryota; Metazoa; Chordata; Mammalia; Rodentia; Muridae
Description: long non-coding RNA NONRATT024974
Source: RNAcentral